Molecule: long non-coding RNA, 617 nt
Organism: Zonotrichia leucophrys gambelii
Lineage: Eukaryota; Metazoa; Chordata; Aves; Passeriformes; Passerellidae
Exons: 4
Source: RefSeq, a predicted model, not a curated record
CUGGUUACCAGGCUGACCAGGGAUUGCUGCUCUUGUCUGCUCGUUUACUCCGGCCUUACCUGGCAUGCCAAGUGCCAGCAGUGAUUCACUCAAUUUGCAUUCUAGAAGGCAGAAGGAGUCUGAAGUGGUUAACAAUGUGCUGGGCAGAGCCGUCAAUUUCAACAAAGGUGGAGAUUUGCACUUGUAAAGGAGGACUGAUGCUGUCAGAUGAUAGAGAUAGAAGAAAGGGUAUGAACAAACAGAUGGCAAUGACAAGAGCUGCAAUCACAUAAUCACAGGGUAUCUGUCAGCUGGCUUUUGAAAAUCUCCAAGAGAGAGCACAGAUUCUCCUGGCAACCUGUUCCACCUGUUCAGCUCUCCAGCUGUUGUGCUUCUAUCCAGUUUGUUGUAUCCUUUUGUUUCAGUGUGUGCCUGUUGCCCACAUUCUCCCACCACACACCACUGUGAAGAGCCUGGUUCCUGUUAGCACAAUAUUUCAGCAUGGCUAAGUCCCUCUAAAAGAUGCUCCUGCCCUUCAGCAUACUGACUGAUACCCCCAAUUUGCUGCCAUCUGCAAGAUGGAUUAAGGUGUAGACUUUCACUUCCUCCAUGCCUCUGACAUUAAAAAGGACAGGUCU